UACAGAGGUCUCAAGCGUUGUUCGGAUUCAUUGGGCUUAAAGGGUGCGUAGGUGGCGGGGUAAGUCAGGUGUGAAAUCUCGAGGCUCAACCUCGAAACUGCACUUGAUACUGCCUUGCUAGAGUACUGGAGAGGAGAUUGGAAUUUACGGUGUAGCAGUGAAAUGCGUAGAUAUCGUAAGGAAGACCAGUGGCGAAGGCGAAUCUCUGGACAGUUACUGACACUGAGGCACGAAGGCCAGGGGAGCAAACGGG
RNAcentral lists this ribosomal RNA (253 nucleotides) under uncultured bacterium. RNAcentral's name for it is "partial 16S ribosomal RNA". It matches the Rfam family "Bacterial small subunit ribosomal RNA", at positions 524 to 776 of the family's 1533-position model. The record is from RNAcentral.